Long non-coding RNA from Pyrus x bretschneideri (Chinese white pear), 2932 nucleotides. RefSeq lists it as uncharacterized. The transcript has 4 exons. Lineage: Eukaryota; Viridiplantae; Streptophyta; Magnoliopsida; Rosales; Rosaceae. The record is from RefSeq and is a predicted model, not a curated record.
CCACUUCAUCAUUUGUUGAGAAACAUCUAAACCAUGUAAGAUAGAUCGUAGGGGAUACUAAGUCAGAACAAUGACCAUAUGCGCUUGAAAGUAUGGUUUGAGCUUUUAAGUUGCAAUAACUGCCAAAUUAGUUUUUCAAUCCUCGGAUAUCUUGUUUUCGUAUGAAGGAGAGCUUUAGAAGUGUAGAAGAUUAACAGUUUGGCCCUUAGCUCUGGUCAUUAGAGGGCAUAGCUUACUGCUACAUUUAAGACUAGCAAGUAGAUGUAUUAUUCCUUGGCUACUUCCAACUUGGAUAGUAGCGGAGGCAAUGUUAAAUAUUUCUUUAAGUGUUGAAAUGCUUUCUUGCACUCGUUGCACCACUUGUCUAUUUGCGCCUUCUUGAUGACCUUGAAAAAGGUGUUGCAUUGAUUGAUUGAGCACGAAAGGAAACGGUUGAGUGCAACUAUGCUUAAUUGUGAGCCGAUUCUAGUCGUCUUCUUCAGUUGCUCGGGAUCAAGAAUGAUGUAUUGGGCGUCCUCUUCUGGCUUCCAUCCUUUUUCUUCUAUUGGUAUGUCCUUUUGAAUGCCAUCAUCUUGAUCCACUUAAUGUGGUUGCUAUGCGGUAGCAAGCUUGUCCUUCUAAACCUUGGCAGCUUCUACAGGAGUGAAGGACUUUUUCGCUCAUUCUUUUAGCAUUUUCAUCGUGCAUCGUUAGGAUGCGGCCGGGUCAGACUUGAUCUCUCCAACUCUUUUUUUUGGGAUGUGGAAUUAGAUUUUCUAGUACUCGAUUGAUGUUAAGAUGCCGAGUUUCACUAACCAGGGCUUUCCCAGAAUCCCGUUAUAAGGAGACGAGUCACUGACUAUUGUGAACUUCUGCUUUGAAACUACUGGCGGUGUUCUCACAUUUAGUGUUAUGUUGUCAAUAACUGUUGAGGUAUGUCCGUUGUAUCUUGUGAGUACCUUUGCUUGGCGUAUUAUCAUGCUCUCUAGGCCCAUUGUCUGAAUGUUGGAUAGCCGAAGUAGAUUUAAUACGUUGAUGCUGUUCACCAUCGUUAUGCCAACUAUAACGCAUGCCAAUUGAACAAACACUACCAAAGCAUCGUCGUGUGAGAAGCCAACUCCCUUAGUAUCCUUUUCGGUGAAACCAACAAUAGGUCCAGGUUUGGUGUAUGCUGCCUGAACCUGGUAGAUUGUUAUAGCAUAUUGGAUCUUUCUCUUCUUAGAGUUGUUUGUGGCCCCUAAGUAUUCCGACUUGGCGAAGAUGUCGUUCAUUCUGAUAGUCUUGGUAAGUUGUUCCUCCUAGGCUGCGCAGCUGGCUUGUCCAGGUAUCUGAGCAUUUACCCUCAUUCACCAGCUUCUCUAAGUAUUCCCAGAGGAUCUGGUCGACUAGGAUUGAGAACUUGGUAUAGUCCUUGGUGGCUUAGCCUCCUUUUGUUAGGGACAGGUCUCCACGCUUGGCCUUCUGCUUGCUUCGGUUGUAAGACUACUUCAUAUCCACUUUCUUCUAGACUGCCUCAAACUCCUUCUGAUGCUACUUAGGUGCCUUGAUUUCCCAUCGGGCCUUAUCUCAAAGUGCAUACUUCUCUGCCAUAGCGAAUGAGUUAGCUAGAGUCAGGUCUUCCUUCAUCAUCAUUCUCCGAAUAGGGCAUGAUCUGCUAGGAGUCCCUUUUCAAAAGUGUUCUAGCACUUAAGUCAUUGUAGCUGAUUAUCUUCACAUUCUUUGCCUUGGACCUCUUGACAUAGUCAUGGAACGACUCCUUUGGAUUCUUCUUGAUGUUGAAGAGAUGAUCGGACUUCUUCUUGAUCGAUCGACAGUAUGAGUACUCAUUAGUUAAAGAUACAUAAAACUUAUCGAAACUUCGGAUGGACUGUAGAUGUAGGGUAUGAAACCAAUCUUUCAUUUCGCCCUGCAAACUAGUGGUGAAUAUUUUGCACAUUAAGGCAUCGUUGGCCCUGUAGAGGAUCAUCACGCUGCAUUAAUGCUUCAAGUGCAUUUUCAGGUCUCUAUCACCCUUGAAUAAGAUGAAAUAUGGCGUAUUGAGCUUAAGUAAGGGCUCCGUCUUCUCAAUCUCGUCCAUGAAGGAUAAUCUACCCAUGUGAGCCAUAUCUCUACAAAGGGCUUCAUCUGUGGUUUGGAUGAGCUGGAAUCCGCACAAUCGCUAUGUUAAAAGGGUCUCUACUUCUUCUUGAAUUUGCCUCUGUCAGAGCAGUAGGGUUUUUGGAUGCCCCUGGUUAGGACCUACUGGUCACGAUUCCUCUUCACUAUGGUCGGCUCGUCUAUGCUAAAGCUGCUAUGUAUGUAGUAAGUUCCCGGGAGGCAAAAUAAUUACUCGUAGGCUGCUAGUUGAACUUGAGCCGAGUUGUGCGACUACUUCUCCCCGUUUGCCUAGCCGUGUAUGAACACACCAACACCCAGAAGGUCCAGAUCCAUGGUUAAUCAACAAAGAUUCCUCCAUGUUUCAGUGUGCGUAAGGUGUGCAUGGAACUGGUGUUCGAAUAGUUGAAACUCGCACGUAUUGUAUUGCUUUCUGCGUGUAGGAAGCACGGAUUGAGUUGAUAACCGAGAGAAAUGAACACUCAAGUUGCAGAUCCAACGAGUCACAAAGGAAAAAUCAACAGUUAAGCUCUUGUAACUGUAAGAGGAAAUAACCCAAAUUGGCAAAGGCAGCUUGAUGUCACAUCCCAAAAACCAAACAAGUGGCCCACAUUGAAGAAUGGCCACGCAGCAAAACAGAAAGAUCCUCAGAAAAUAAAGACUGCUGAAAAGUCCCCUGCAAUGAAGGAACCCACUGCAAUUUUUGCUCCCUUCUCCUUAAAAUCUGCUCAGGUUCUGGAUCAAAUUGAAAUAAUUUUUGCACUACUGAUCGUGUACUCACCAUGCACAGAUUGUUGUAAUCUGCAUUAUUAUACUGCUGUAAUAUGUAAAAAUAAAAUAAAAACGAAAAUUAAAUUUA